This 419-nucleotide ribosomal RNA is filed under the name uncultured bacterium. RNAcentral's name for it is "bacterial SSU rRNA". It matches the Rfam family "Bacterial small subunit ribosomal RNA", at positions 357 to 774 of the family's 1533-position model. The record is from RNAcentral.
AGGAAUAUUGGUCAAUGGACGCAAGUCUGAACCAGCCAUGCCGCGUGAAGGAUGAAGGUCCUCUGGAUUGUAAACUUCUUUUAUCUGGGACGAAAACGGGAUUUUUAUCUCAAUUGACGGUACCAGAGGAAUAAGCACCGGCUAACUCCGUGCCAGCAGCCGCGGUAAUACGGAGGGUGCGAGCGUUAUCCGGAUUUACUGGGUUUAAAGGGGUCGUAGGUGGGAUUAUAAGUCAGUGGUGAAAUCUCUGAGCUUAACUUGGAAACUGCCGUUGAUACUAUAGGUCUUGAAUUAUCUGGAGGUAAGCGGAAUAUUUCAUGUAGCGGUGAAAUGCUUAGAUAUGACAUAGAACACCAAUUGCGAAGGCAGCUUACUACAUAUAAAUUGGCGCUGAGGCACGAAAGCGUGGGGAUCAAACA